AUGUUGGUUGGACCCUUGCCAACAAGCUUGCUAAGAUGCACAAGCCUGGUACGGUUUCGUCUUGAACGAAAUCAGCUCCAAGGAGAUAUCUCUGAGAUGGGGGUUUAUCCGAAUCUUGUGUACAUAGAUAUCAGCUCAAAUAAACUAUUUGGUCAACUAUCUCAUAGCUGGGGUGAGUGCCACGGACUUUCCAUGUUGCGCGCUUCAGAAAAUGGUAUCACUGGAGUCAUACCACCAAGCAUAGGGAAACUGUCUCAGUUGAGGAUACUUGAUGUUUCAUCAAAUAAACUCGAAGGACAUAUUCCUCCAGAAAUUGGCAAUAUAAUGACAUUAUUCAAUUUGAGCCUCGGCAACAACUUGCUCAGGGGAAGUAUACCGCAGGAAAUUGCGUCUCUAAAAAAUCUGGAGUAUUUGGAUUUAUCUUCGAACAACCUAAGUGGGCAGUUAGGGGGAUCAGUUGGGCAGUGCUUAAAGCUUCGCCUUCUGAAUUUGAGCCAUAAUCAACUCAAUGGUAGCAUUCCUAUGGAACUAGGGAUGCUGGUAAACCUGCAAGGAUUGUUAGAUCUGAGUGAAAAUUCAUUUAGUAGCAUGAUACCAACUCAGUUGGGUGAUCUUAGCAUGCUUGAAGCCUUGAAUCUUUCACAUAAUGCAUUAAGCGGCAGGAUUCCGCCAUCAUUUCAACGCAUGAACAGCCUCUUAUACAUGGACGUGUCUUAUAACAAACUUGAAGGGCCAGUGCCACAAAGCAGGCUCUUCAAAGAAGCUCCAACCGAAUGGUUCGUGCAUAAUACACAUUUAUGCGGUGAUGGUGUGAAAAAUCUGCCCCCUUGUGACCACACUUCAAGCUAUCAAAAAGGAAGGAAGCCUAGAGCUAUUUUACUAGCUAUAAUACCUGCCACUGUGACUUUUAUGCUCAUUACUGCACUAGCAACAUGGCAAUGUAAAAGGAAGAAAUCCAAGGCUGAAAGUGGAAAGGGACUGGAACAGGUCAAGAUGUUCGCCAUCUGGAACUUUGACGGGGAAGAUGUGUACAAGAAAAUUAUUGAGGCCACAAAAAGAUUCAGCGAUGCUCACUGCAUUGGAAGAGGAGGGAAUGGAUCUGUCUAUAUAGCCCAGUUACCAACAGGUGAAAUAUUUGCAAUAAAGAAGAUUCACACGAUGGAAGAUGACAAGCUAUUCCAUCGUGAAAUAGAUGCUUUGAUUCAUAUUUGGCAUCGCAACAUUGUGAAGUUAUUUGGCUACUGCGCUGCUGCUCAUCAGAGAUUCCUUGUGUAUGAAUAUAUGGAUAGGGGAAGCUUAGCGAAAUCUUUGCAGAGCAAGGAAACUGCAAUUGAGUUGGAUUGGACAAGAAGAUUAAAUAUCACUAAGGAUGUUGCAAAUGCUCUGUCCUACAUGCAUCAUGAUUGCUUUGCACCGAUAGUCCAUAGAGAUAUAACUAGCAGCAACAUUUUGCUUGAUAUGGAUUUCAGUGCCUGUAUUUCAGAUUUUGGUCUAGCAAAAAUACUAGAUGGAGAUGCAUCAAACUGUACAAGGCUUGCUGGGACGAACGGAUAUCUUGCCCCAGAGCUUGCGUACUCAACAAGGGUGACAGAGAAGUGUGAUGUCUAUAGCUUUGGAGUACUCAUGCUCGAGUUGUUCAUGGGACAUCAUCCAGGUGAUUUUCUUUCUUCCAUGGCCAACAGAAGUACAUCACUUGAGGAUUUGUUGGACAUCCGGCUCCCAUUCCCUGAAACUGAGAUCGCAAGUGAAAUAUUCAAAGUGAUCGUGUUUGCUGUUUGUUGCAUAGAACCAAAUCCAUCAUACCGACCAACGAUGCAACAAGCAAUCAAGGUGUUCUCUACAACUGAAAGACCUGAUGAUCAGCUUGAUUGUCUGCAAACUGACAUUGUCAUCCCUUCCACCUGGUCGUGA
Molecule: ribosomal RNA, 1911 nt
Filed under: Triticum aestivum (bread wheat)
Lineage: Eukaryota; Viridiplantae; Streptophyta; Magnoliopsida; Poales; Poaceae
Description: partial small subunit ribosomal RNA
Source: RNAcentral